AACAGGAUUAGAUACCCUGGUAGUCCACGCCGUAAACGAUGAUUACUCGUUGUUGGCGAUAUAUUGUCAGCGACUGAGCGAAAGCAUUAAGUAAUCCACCUGGGGAGUACGUUGGCAACAAUGAAACUCAAAGGAAUUGACGGGGGCCCGCACAAGCGGAGGAACAUGUGGUUUAAUUCGAUGAUACGCGAGGAACCUUACCUGGGCUUAAAUGUAGCAUGACCGUACCCGAAAGGGUAUUUCUCUUCGGAGCAGGUUACAAGGUGCUGCAUGGCUGUCGUCAGCUCGUGCCGUGAGGUGUCGGGUUAAGUCCCAUAACGAGCGCAACCCCUAUCGUUAGUUGCCAGCGGGUAAUGCCGGGAACUCUAGCGAGACUGCCACCGUAAGGUGAGAGGAAGGUGGGGAUGACGUCAAGUCAGCACGGCCCUUAUGUCCAGGGCUACACACGUGUUACAAUGGCCAGUACAAAGGGCAGCUACCUGGUGACAGGAUGCAAAUCUCUAAAACUGGUCUCAGUUCGGAUCGAAGUCUGCAACUCGACUUCGUGAAGUUGGAUUCGCUAGUAAUCGUAUAUCAGCAACGAUACGGUGAAUACGUUCCCGGGCCUUGUACACACCGCCCGUCAAGCCAUGGAAGCCGGGGGUACCUGAAGUCCGUAACCGCAAGGA
This 668-nucleotide ribosomal RNA is filed under the name uncultured Bacteroidota bacterium. Its description in RNAcentral is "bacterial SSU rRNA". It matches the Rfam family "Bacterial small subunit ribosomal RNA", at positions 771 to 1451 of the family's 1533-position model. The record is from RNAcentral. Lineage: Bacteria; Pseudomonadati; Bacteroidota.